UGUAAAUUAGUGGCUGAUGAUUUUGUUAAAGACGAACAAACACUUCUACUUGCAAGAGCAGGUAACUGAUGUUGUUUCUUUCAUGACUUUCAUACUUUCCGGUUCCCUGCUAGCAGAGUUCAUCCACGGGAGACGCUAUUAGCAUGGAAACUCUACGGCAACCCCAAAAGCUAACCUUUAAUCGUGUUUAAUUUUAAUUGAAGGAGUUUUNCAAUCAGAUGAUUCGAAUCUGUCUUUGACUAUUUGUCCACACCACCGNGAUGCCUGUGGUGCUCAUUGGAAAUGCGGGAAAGUGAGGUGUCCCAUUCCAAGUGAGGUAGCUUCUCACAAGUCCUCUGCAAAAGGAGAUCGUAGUGUUAACAGCAAUGAGUCACAGUACAUCUUCUUCAUAACGAAAACAUUGAUCCCAGUAGGAACACUAAUUUGUAAAAGAUGCAAAGAGCAACUUGCCGAUAAAGUGAAGGAUUUUGGUUGACACAACUGCUCGCAAAGGAACAUCCCAUGUGGAUGACGCAACUGAGGGCUUCGAUAACCAAGAAAGUAGUGGAGAAGAAAGCGUGCAACAGGGGAGCGAUAAACAGGCUUCUUCAUGCGACGAGCUAGAGAAGAAAAUGGAGAAGCUUGAGCUUAAAGAUGAAAGCUAUUUUCUGUCGCCAG
This 657-nucleotide long non-coding RNA is filed under the name Actinia tenebrosa (Australian red waratah sea anemone). RNAcentral describes it as "uncharacterized LOC116308008, transcript variant X2". Lineage: Eukaryota; Metazoa; Cnidaria; Anthozoa; Actiniaria; Actiniidae. The record is from RNAcentral.